UACGGGGGGAGCAAGCGUUGUUCGGAUUUACUGGGCGUAAAGGGCGCGUAGGCGGUCAGCACAAGUCAGUUGUGAAAUCUCCGAGCUUAACUCGGAAAGGUCAACUGAUACUGUGCGACUAGAGUGCGGAAGGGGCAACUGGAAUUCUUGGUGUAGCGGUGAAAUGCGUAGAUAUCAAGAGGAACACCUGCGGCGAAGGCGGGUUGCUGGGCCGACACUGACGCUGAGGUGCGAAAGCGUGGGGAGCAAACAGG
Molecule: ribosomal RNA, 254 nt
Filed under: uncultured bacterium
Lineage: Bacteria
Description: partial 16S ribosomal RNA
Rfam family: Bacterial small subunit ribosomal RNA
Source: RNAcentral